Molecule: ribosomal RNA, 253 nt
Filed under: uncultured bacterium
Lineage: Bacteria
Description: partial 16S ribosomal RNA
Rfam family: Bacterial small subunit ribosomal RNA
Source: RNAcentral
UACGAAGGGGGCUAGCGUUGCUCGGAAUCACUGGGCGUAAAGCGCACGUAGGCGGAUCGUUAAGUCAGGGGUGAAAUCCCGGAGCUCAACUUCGGAACUGCCCUUGAUACAGCACGUCUCGAGUCCGAGAGAGGUGAGUGGAAUUCCUAGUGUAGAGGUGAAAUUCGUAGAUAUUAGGAAGAACACCAGUGGCGAAGGCGGCUCACUGGCUCGGUACUGACGCUGAGGUGCGAAAGCGUGGGGAGCAAACAGG